RNAcentral lists this ribosomal RNA (406 nucleotides) under uncultured bacterium. RNAcentral's name for it is "partial 16S ribosomal RNA". It matches the Rfam family "Bacterial small subunit ribosomal RNA", at positions 30 to 526 of the family's 1533-position model. The record is from RNAcentral.
AUUGAACGCUGGCGGCAGUCUUAACACAUGCAAGUCGAGCGAGCGGCGGACGGGUGAGUAAUGUCUGGGAAACUGCCUGAUGGAGGGGGAUAACUACUGGAAACGGUAGCUAAUACCGCACACCAUCAGAUGUGCCCAGAUGGGAUUAGCUAGUUGGUGGGGUAAUGGCACACCUGGGCGACGAUCCCUAGCUGGUCUGAGAGGAUGACCAGCAACACUGGAACUGAGACACGUCCCAGACUCCUACGGGAGGCGGCAGGGGGGAAUAUUGCACAAUGGGCGCAAGCCUGAUGCAGCAAGGCCGCGUGAGUGAAGAAGGUCUUCGGGAUGUAAAGCACGUUCAGCGAGGAGGCGUUACUCACAGAGGAAGCACCGGCUAACUCCGUGCCAGCAGCCGCGGUAAUAC